Picea glauca (white spruce) is the source of this 121-nucleotide non-coding RNA. NCBI's taxonomy places the organism in Eukaryota, Viridiplantae, Streptophyta, Pinopsida, Pinales, Pinaceae. The record is from Rfam.
GCAUGCAUAUAGCAUAGUGUUAAUGCACCAGAUCCCAUUAGAACUCUACAGUUAAGCACAAUCGGGCUAGAGUAGUGUUGGGAUGGGUGACCUUCUAGGAAGUCCUUUUGUUUUACAUGCC